This is an RNA transcript of Glycine soja, 3052 nucleotides long. It is a transcript of the gene named sugar transport protein 5-like, with no coding region annotated. NCBI's taxonomy places the organism in Eukaryota, Viridiplantae, Streptophyta, Magnoliopsida, Fabales, Fabaceae. The record is from RefSeq and is a predicted model, not a curated record. The transcript has a single exon.
CCUAAAAGAAGUUUUAUAUAAAAAAGUUGAGUAAUAGAUUUAUUAGAGAAAAAAAAAAAAACUUUCGUUUCUACUAUUUCAGUAUUGUUCUCUCUCUUCACCUCACUCGUCUUUCUCUUUUCACUCUCCCAGCAUGUAACCCACGCCCUCAUGCAUCGCCCUCUUCCCUUCCCUUUCAAGUGAGUCUCAUCACCUUACUUCAACACCGCGGCGAACGACAAUAAUCCGUAUUCAGAUUUGCUCACCGUGGACAAUAGUCAUCAUCGAUCCAGAUUCAGAUCUGCUCAUAACGCACAACGACUAUCGAUCUAGAUUGGUUCGUGCGGUUGUUCUGUGAUAUUGGAUCAGAUCUGUGAUUUGAUUCCACCAUGACAUUACCGACGACCACAACCAUGCAUGCCUCGAAACUCCCACACGUCGGAGGAGUGACGAUUGAUACCGCUACGGAACCUUGCAAUGCAAUUCUGCAACGCCUACCUUGAACGUCAUCACGAUCCAAUGGUGGUGUUUGACGCCCUUUCCUCUCCUACUCUUCAUAUUUGUUUCAAAGAUCUAUUUCAGAGUUUCCAUGACGACACCAAAUUUGAACCAAAUCUAGGAGUUUUCUUGUUUCAGAUCUGGUUUUUAUUUUAUUGAUUAUUUUGAUUUUGUUGUCUGGAAUGAAUUGUUGUGUUUCUUCACAUUGACUCUUGAUCUAUUCAUUGGUUUGUUCUCUGAAAUUAGUUGAAGUGAAACAUGUAAAAAUUAAUUUUUUAUUAUGAAAAGACAUUUAUUUGUUGGUUUUGAAUCACGAAAAGUCUGAACAAAUGUUUUUUUCAUAAUAAAAAAAAUAUUUUUUACAUGUUUCAUGAAACAAAUGUUUAAGAACCUCAAAUUAUGGCUUUAACGUUAGAGUAAAACAUAACACCGGUUCUUAAAUCUGACUUGUUAAUAAGUGACCCACAAAAAUUACAUUAAGAACCCAAAAACGGUUCUACCGUCAAAGAUGCUUUAAGAUUUAAUAACAAUUUUUGAGUUGGGUUUUUGACCUCAAGAAUCUCUUUCCAUUAAAUCUAUCAUUAUUUUUGCUGUAAGAAGUGAAAUUAGAGGCUUGAUUAGUAAGUUAGUUGUCAUUAGAAAAAUUUGGAUUAAGAGGAAAAUAAGAGGGUAUAAAUAAUCGUCCUUAUGUAUAUUCUUAUUCAUGAAUAAAGUUUUGAAUUGUUCUUCUUGUAUCUUGAGAGUAGAGAGUGGGAGUUCAAUUGGGUAAAUUCUAUUCUCAAUUGUUAUAUUUGGUAUCAGAGUGGCAUGAUGAUGAUGGUGAUCACGAAGGAACUUGAGACUUGCAUGGAAUUCUAUGAGAAGAACCUCUCUGAUCAUCAAGAAUAAAUGUAGAAAAUGUUGUAAAUGGUGCAGAAAUCGAUCGAAAGCCUCACAGCGGCAAUUGCAGUGAUGAACGUUGGCAAGAAAAGAUCAUCACAGUGGAAUGCUGGAAACAGUUCUUUCAAUAGUUGAUAAAGCAUAGAUUCCAUUUCCAUCCUUUGAUGGCUCCAACUUUCGAGAUUGGAAAGCAAAAGCAGAACAAUUUUUUGAAUUGAAGGGUAUCCCUAAAGAAUAAAGGAGUCGUUUGUUAUUACUAUCGAUGGAUGGUAAAGCCUUUGCAUGGCAAAGGCAUUAUAUGCUAAACAAUAACAGAGGGAAUUCUUGGCAACAAAUCAUUCAUAAUGCUGGAAGCAGAUUCGACACAAGUGCAUUCGAUGAUCCAAUAGCAGAAAUUGCAAGAUUGAAGCAAGAUGGCCCUUUGAUCGAUUACCUAGAAAACUUUGACACAUUGUUAGCUCGAGUAUCAAUUACAGAAGACGUAGCAUUAAGUUUUUUUCUUUCUGGUUUAACCAUUGAGCUUGAGAAAUCAGUAAGGGUUCAUAGGCCAAACGCCAUGAUUUUUGGUGGUUGCAUCUUUUUUUCUGGUGGUGCCAUUAAUGGUGCUGCUGAAAAUAUUGCUACGCUAAUCUUGGGUCGUAUCUUGCUUGGUCUUGGAGUCGGUUUCACAAAUCAAGCAACGCCAGUGUACCUAUCCGAAAUUGCUCCUCCCAAAUGGUGAAGUGUGUUCAACACUGGGUUCCAAUUCUUCGUCGGUGUGGGUAUGGUGGAACUGAAUAAACUAUGGCACCGUGCGGCAUCCAUGGGGGUGGCAUGUGUCCCUCGGCCUCGCCACAGUCCCCCCAACCAUCAUCACUGUUGGAGCAUUCCUAAUCCUUAACACCUCAAGCAGCCUAGUGGUGCGCAACCAAAUACCCCAAGCCAGAAACACUCUCCGCAAAGUGCAUGGCCUCACUGCUGAUGUGGAACUCAAAUUACAACACGUGAUCCAAUCGUCCUAGAUUUCAAAAGCCGUGAAAGGGGAAGGUUUUGGGAUCAUGUUUGAGGAGCAGUAUCAGCCUAAGUUGGUGAUGGUGUUUGCGAUUCCGAUGUCUCAGCAGCUCACGGGGAUCAACAUUGUUGCCUUUUAUGCGCCAGACCUUUUUCAGUCUAUGGGAUUUGACAAUGACUUGGCGUUGCUUUUGGCUGUUAUAUUGGGGCUUGUCAACCUUGGUUCCAUUCUUGUCUCAACUGCUAUUGUUGAUCACUUUGGGCGAAGGUUCUUGUUCAUUAUAGGCAGCAUUCAAAUGCUUAUUUGCAUGAUUGUUGUGGUUGUUGUGUUGGCAGUGGUGAAUGGUGUUCAUGGUACAGAACACAUUUCAAAGCUCAACGCACGAAUGAAGAAAAAAGGCAGCAGAGCUGUCACGGAGGUGUUGAUUCAAUGGCAACAUACCAACCCAGAAGAUGCAAUUUGGAAGGAAUUACACAGUAUGCAACACCAAUUUCCAGAUUUUGAUUGGAGAGCUAACAGGCCUUGAGGACAAGUCCUAUUUUUGAAGAGGGGGAAAGUUGUAAUAAGUGAAAUUAGAGGCUUGAUUAGCAAGUUAGUUGUCAUUAGGAAAAUCCGGAUUAAAAGGGAAAUAAGAGGGUAUAAAUAAACGUCCUUAUGUACAUUCUCAUUCAUCCAUGAAUAAAGUUCUGAAUUGUUUCUCUUGUA